RNAcentral lists this ribosomal RNA (253 nucleotides) under uncultured bacterium. RNAcentral describes it as "partial 16S ribosomal RNA". It matches the Rfam family "Bacterial small subunit ribosomal RNA", at positions 524 to 776 of the family's 1533-position model. The record is from RNAcentral.
UACGUAGGGUGCGAGCGUUAAUCGGAAUCACUGGGCUUACAGGGUGCGUAGGCGGCUCAACAAGUCAGGUGUGAAAGCCCCCGGCUCAACCGGGGAACUGCGCUUGAAACUGUUAGGCUCGAGUCAGCUAGAGGUACACGGAACUUCCAGUGGAGCGGUGAAAUGUGUUGAUAUUGGAAGGAACACCGGAGGCGAAAGCGGUGUACUGGGGCUGGUCUGACGCUGAGGCACGAAAGCCAGGGGAGCGAACGGG